UAAGUAUUCCCACCGUCCGGAAAUACUUGUCGGAGAAAUGCAUAAAAAUGAAUGUAUGUAGAACUAAAAUAUAUUUAAAUACAUCCAUUCUUCCGACGAGUAUUUUCGGACGGAGGGAGUAUGUU
Triticum aestivum (bread wheat) is the source of this 125-nucleotide non-coding RNA. The record is from Rfam. NCBI's taxonomy places the organism in Eukaryota, Viridiplantae, Streptophyta, Magnoliopsida, Poales, Poaceae.